GCAAGUCGAGGGGCAGCAUUUCUAGCUUGCUAGAAGAUGGCGACCGGCGCACGGGUGAGUAACGCGUAUGCAACCUACCUUACAUUGGGGGAUAGCCCAGAGAAAUCUGGAUUAAUACCGCAUAACAUAUUUGAAUCGCAUGGUUUAAAUAUUAAAACUCCGGUGGUAUAAGAUGGGCAUGCGUAGCAUUAGUUAGUUGGUGAGGUAACGGCUCACCAAGACAAUGAUGCUUAGGGGUCCUGAGAGGGAGAUC
This 253-nucleotide ribosomal RNA is filed under the name uncultured bacterium. Its description in RNAcentral is "partial 16S ribosomal RNA". It matches the Rfam family "Bacterial small subunit ribosomal RNA", at positions 57 to 305 of the family's 1533-position model. The record is from RNAcentral.